CAUCGGUGGUGGAGGGGGAGUCGGGACAGGGUCCGAGGCGUGGCGAGUUGUGUGUGAUGUUGAGAGUCCGAGCGAGGGGUGGUCGCAGAGGAUGAGGUGCAGAUUCUUAGUCGGAUUCCCUCCGAUGCGAAAGCAAGUGACGCGUCCCUGCGCUUCUGAUGUGUUUCUGUGAGUGUGUGAGGCGGUUCCCCUGCGUCCCUUCCCGGCGCGGUGAUGUGUCGAUGCGGGGGAGGGGGGCGGCGCGGGCGCGGUGUGGCGUUUGUUGGGCGAACGGAGGCUGCGGUGAGGAUUGACAGCUCCCUCUACUGAAUAGCAGUGAGGACACCGCUUGGCAUGAAUCGAACCAUAAAACCAUGGCCGACUCUGAGCAGCCUGCGUGGGUGAGGCGCGUGACGUUAGCGUGUGGUAGGUGACAUGGGGAUAUGAGGAUACUUUCCCCAAAUGAUCGACACUGAUUCGAGCUGUGCGUUCAUGCUCCAAGGAGCCAAGCCAGAAAUCUGAUCCCUGGGGGAGUUGCGUGGGUGAGUGGUGGGUGUGAGGCGGUGAGGUAGGGGGGCAGAGUCGGUGACGAUGAACUCAUAGGCUUGUUUCUCAAAAAUUCGCAGUGGCCGCCUAAAGCUUUCGCCCCGCCGGGCUGGAGAGCUAAUGCAGCUUCCAAACCUUCCUUGGAUAUCUGAGACUCUGUGGGGGUGGUAGAGUGGUAGAGUGAGUGGGCCGUGUUUGGCGAUGAUUAGAAAACGCCCGCGCUUCUGAGGGGAAACCCGCUGAGGUGAAACGGACAAAAUGGUUGAAUUUCUUCGGAUGAGCCUUGCACGGGGGAGCGAUCAGAGAGCGUGGGGAGUCGGGGGGAGGGAGUGAGGUGUUGCGAGGAACCGAUGAUGACAAAAGCGGAGUGAAGCUUUCGAGCCUGUGAUCAUUCCAUUGUUACACACACUGAGGUUUGCAAGGGUGAGCAGGUGAGUAAGUGCACGGUGAAUGGGUGAAACAGGACACCGGAAGGGUGUACCUCUGAGAGCUCAUCCCACGAGAUUCGCUUGUCCCGAAGACCCACAACCGCACUCUUCUCAAUGAUUUGAUACUUAAACCCUCGUCAUCGAAAUAUGAAGUACGAAAUAUCCAAGAGAAGGAGUCGAAAGAGGUCCAAUGCACAAAAUGACGAAUCCGACAAAAUGAGUUGCAAUGAAAAACAAUUCUCCUUCGCUAUGACUCCACAUAAUUGCGAAGAGUGCAGGAGCAAGUGAACCUGCAAUAGAAAGAGAACACAGAAAAUUAUCUUUUGGAGAUAUUAUUCAUGAAACAUUUCUUCUAGAAAUAAUAACUAAUGAUUAUAGUAGUUUUGUGGUAUUUAAUAUCAUUAAAUCUCUUCUUAAUUCAACCAUUUUUAGAUUUAUUAUAAUUAAAAAAACAUAAUCCUUGAAUAGAUUGAAUAUCUUAUAAACUUAACUUUUUUGAAAGUAAAACUAAGAAUGUAGCUAAUCAAAUAAAAACUUAUAAGUCUAGUGCAAGCAAACAUGUAUUUGUAGGUGCAAAAGCUUUCUUACAUGCUGCAAAAAAAUGAUAGCUUGUGUCAUUUAUACUACACCUAUUUUUUAUAGUGAAAAGACUUCAAAUGAUAUUCCUAGUCAAUAUCAAGAUUUUCAACAUAUAUUUUAAAAAAACAAUGUAAAUGUUUUUUGGAACAUUGUUUCUAAGACUGUUCAA
This is a non-coding RNA of Physcomitrium patens, 1701 nucleotides long. NCBI's taxonomy places the organism in Eukaryota, Viridiplantae, Streptophyta, Bryopsida, Funariales, Funariaceae. The record is from RefSeq and is a predicted model, not a curated record.